Molecule: ribosomal RNA, 457 nt
Filed under: uncultured bacterium
Lineage: Bacteria
Description: bacterial SSU rRNA
Rfam family: Bacterial small subunit ribosomal RNA
Source: RNAcentral
UACGGGAGGCAGCAGUGGGGAAUAUUGCACAAUGGGCGCAAGCCUGAUGCAGCCAUGCCGCGUGUAUGAAGAAGGCCUUCGGGUUGUAAAGUACUUUCAGUCGUGAGGAAGGUGUUAAGGUUAAUAACCUUAGCAAUUGACGUUAGCGACAGAAGAAGCACCGGCUAACUCCGUGCCAGCAGCCGCGGUAAUACGGAGGGUGCGAGCGUUAAUCGGAAUUACUGGGCGUAAAGGGCACGCAGGCGGUUAAUUAAGUUGGAUGUGAAAUCCCCGGGCUUAACCUGGGAAUGGCAUUCAAGACUGGUUAGCUAGAGUCUUGUAGAGGGGGUAGAAUUCCAUGUGUAGCGGUGAAAUGCGUAGAGAUGUGGAGGAAUACCGGUGGCGAAGGCGGCCCCUGGGACAAAGGGACCUGACGCUCAUGUGCGAAAGCGUGGGGAGCAAACAGGGAUUAGAUACC